GACGUGAAGGUUUGUAAAUGAUGUUGUACAUCAUGCAGAUAGCUCAGAAGAAGAAGCAGGAAUGUUUGACUGGAAAUAUAAACGAUGUUGUACUUAAUGCAGAUAGCUUAGGCGAAAAAGAGAUUGGUGAAAUGGAGAAUGAGACUAACUAUGGUGAAAAAAUAAUGAAUAUCAAAAUGUGAAUGGUACUUUGUUUGACAUCUAUCUGUUUCUACAGACACAAUGCAGUCGCACUUAAA
Hydra vulgaris (swiftwater hydra) is the source of this 239-nucleotide long non-coding RNA. RefSeq lists it as uncharacterized. Lineage: Eukaryota; Metazoa; Cnidaria; Hydrozoa; Anthoathecata; Hydridae. The record is from RefSeq and is a predicted model, not a curated record.